Molecule: transfer RNA, 72 nt
Filed under: Nanobdellota archaeon
Lineage: Archaea; Nanobdellati; Nanobdellota
Description: tRNA-Asn
Rfam family: tRNA
About the family: Transfer RNA (tRNA) molecules are approximately 80 nucleotides in length. Their secondary structure includes four short double-helical elements and three loops (D, anti-codon, and T loops). Further hydrogen bonds mediate the characteristic L-shaped molecular structure. tRNAs have two regions of fundamental functional importance: the anti-codon, which is responsible for specific mRNA codon recognition, and the 3' end, to which the tRNAs corresponding amino acid is attached (by aminoacyl-tRNA synthetases). tRNAs cope with the degeneracy of the genetic code in two manners: having more than one tRNA (with a specific anti-codon) for a particular amino acid; and 'wobble' base-pairing, i.e. permitting non-standard base-pairing at the 3rd anti-codon position.
Source: RNAcentral
GUUCCGGUAGCUCAGCGGUGGAGCACUCGGCUGUUAACCGAGCGGUCGCAGGUUCGAUCCCUGCCCGGAACG